This 1276-nucleotide ribosomal RNA is filed under the name metagenome. RNAcentral describes it as "bacterial LSU rRNA". It matches the Rfam family "Bacterial large subunit ribosomal RNA", at positions 1672 to 2925 of the family's 2925-position model. The record is from RNAcentral.
CAAAUCUGCUAAGGCGCUUGAGAGAACUCUGGUUAAGGAACUCUGCAAAUUGAUACCGUAACUUCGGAAGAAGGUAUGCCUUUUUUGGUCACUGGACUUGCUCCAGGAAGCUGAGAGAGGCCGCAGGUAAUCGAGGGCUGCGACUGUUUACCAAAAACACAGGACUCUGCUAACACGCAAGUGGAUGUAUAGGGUCUGACGCCUGCCCGGUGCCGGAAGGUUAAUUGAUGGGGUCAGCCGCAAGGCGAAGCUCUUGAUCGAAGCCCCGGUAAACGGCGGCCGUAACGAUAACGGUCCUAAGGUAGCGGAAUUCCUUGUCGGGUAAGUUCCGACCUGCACGAAUGGCGUAACGCUGGCCCUACUGUCUCAACCAGAGACUCAGUGAAGUUGAAAUCGCUGUGAAGAUGCGGCGUAGCUGCGGAAAGACGGAAAGACCCCGUGAACCUUUACUACAGCUUUACACUGAACUUUGAACUUGUUUGUGUAGGAUAGGUGGGAGCCUAUGAAGUGGGGGCGCUAGCUCUCAUGGAGGCAACCUUGAAAUACCACCCUGAUAAUUUCGGAGUUCUAACCUAGUCCCGUAAUCCGGGAUGGGAACACUGUAUGGUGGGUAGUUUGACUGGGGCGGUCUCCUCCCAAAGAGUAACGGAGGAGUGCAAAGGUACCCUCAGCGUGGUCGGUCAUCACGCUUCUGAGUGCAAUGGCAUAAGGGUGCUUGACUGCGAGACGUACAUGUCGAGCAGGAACGAAAGUUGGUCAUAGUGAUCCGGUGGUUCUGUAUGGAAGGGCCAUCGCUCAACGGAUAAAAGGUACUCCGGGGAUAACAGGCUUAUUCCUCCCAAGAGUCCACAUCGACGGAGGAGUUUGGCACCUCGAUGUCGGCUCAUCACAUCCUGGGGCUGUAGCAGGUCCCAAGGGUUCGGCUGUUCGCCGAUUAAAGUGGUACGCGAGCUGGGUUCAAAACGUCGUGAGACAGUUUGGUCCCUAUCUUCCGUAGCCGUUGGAGAUUUGAGGGUGAGCUGCUCCUAGUACGAGAGGACCGGAGUGGACGUAUCUCUGGUGUUCCGGUUGUCACGCCAGUGGCACUGCCGGGUAGCUAAAUACGGACGGGAUAACCGCUGAAAGCAUCUAAGCGGGAAGCCCUCCCCAAGACGAGAUCUCCCUGAGGACUUGAUCCUCCUGAAGGGCCCAAGAAGACUACUUGGUUGAUAGGCUGGGUGUGGAAGCACAGCAAUGUGCGGAGCUAACCAGUACUAAUUGCCCGUGAGGCUUGACC